CGGCUCUGGUGGUGUAGGGGUUAAGCACAAGACCAUGUGCAGAGGUUAUAGUCCUCAAUGCGGCUGUCCUGGGUUCGAGUCCCAGACUUGCCGA
Ataeniobius toweri is the source of this 94-nucleotide non-coding RNA. The record is from the annotation of a GenBank genome assembly. Lineage: Eukaryota; Metazoa; Chordata; Actinopteri; Cyprinodontiformes; Goodeidae.